GCUGUGCGGCGAGCAUAUACAUGCAGUCGAGCGAACAGAUAAGGAGCUUGCUCCUUUGACGUUAGCGGCGGACGGGUGAGUAACACGUGGAUAACCUACCUAUAAGACUGGGAUAACUUCGGGAAACCGGAGCUAAUACCGGAUAAGAUUUUGAACCGCAUGGUUCAAUAGUGAAAGACGGCCUUGCUGUCACUUAUAGAUGGAUCCGCGCCGUAUUAGCUAGUUGGUAAGGUAACGGCUUACCAAGGCAACGAUACGUAGCCGACCUGAGAGGGUGAUCGGCCACACUGGAACUGAGACACGGUCCAGACUCCUACGGGAGGCAGCGAGUAGGAGAUAUUCUUACGGCAACUGGGUCUGAAAGCCUGACGAAUGCAACGCCGCGUGAGGUGAAUGGAAGGUUCUUCCGAUCGUUAAAACUCUGGUAAUCAAGGAAGAAACAAAACGUGUUAAGUAACCUGUGCACGUCUUGACGGUACCUGAUCAGAAAGCCACGGGCUAAACUAUCGUACCAGCAGCCCGCGGUUAAUUACGUAGUGUGGCGAAGCGUUAUCCAGGAAAUUAUUGGGCGUAAAAGCGCGCGUAGGCGGUUUUUUAAGUCUGAUGUGAAAGCCCACGGCUCAACCGUGGAGGGUCAUUGGAAACUGGAAAACUUGAGUGCAGAAGAGGAAAGUGGAAUUUCCAUGUGUAGCGGUGAAAUGCGCAGAGAUAUGGAGGAACACCAGUGGCGAAGGCGACUUUUCUGGUCUGUAACUGACGCUGAUGUGCGAAAGCGUGGGGAUCAAACAGGAUUAGAUACCCUGGUAGUCCACGCCGUAAAACGAUGAGUGCUAAGUGUUAGGGGGUUUCCGCCCCUUAGUGCUGCAGCUAACGCAUUAAGCACUCCGCCUGGGGAGUACGACCGCAAGGGUUGAAACUCAAAGGAAUUGACGGGGACCCGCACAAGCGGUGGAGCAUGUGGUUUAAUUUCGAAGCAACGCGAAGAACCCUUACCAAAUCUUUGACAUCCCUUGACCAGCUCUAGAGAUAGAGUUUUCCCCUUUCGGGGGACAAAGUGACAGGUGGUUGCCAUGGAUGUCGGUCAGCUCGUUGUCGUGGAGAUGUUGGGUUAAGUUCCCGGCAACGAGUCGCCAACCCUUAAGCUUAGUGGCCAAUCAUUAAGUCGGGCACUUCUUAAGAUUUUGACACUGGGCCGGUGACAAACCGGAGGAAGGUGGGGAUGACGUCAAAUCAUCAUGCCCCUUAUGAUUUGGGCUACACACGUGCUACAAUGGACAAUACAAAGGGCAGCUAAACCGCGAGGUCAAGCAAAUCCCAUAAAGUUGUUCUCAGUUCGGAUUGUAGUCUGCAACUCGACUACAUGAAGCUGGAAUCGCUAGUAAUCGUAGAUCAGCAUGCUACGGUGAAUACGUUCCCGGGUCUUGUACACACCGCCCGUCACACCGACGAGAGUUUGUAACACCCGAAGCCGGUGGAGUAACCAUUUAUGGAGCUAGCCGUCGAAUGUUGAGCCAAAAG
RNAcentral lists this ribosomal RNA (1518 nucleotides) under Staphylococcus pasteuri. Its description in RNAcentral is "bacterial SSU rRNA". It matches the Rfam family "Bacterial small subunit ribosomal RNA". Lineage: Bacteria; Bacillati; Bacillota; Bacilli; Caryophanales; Staphylococcaceae. The record is from RNAcentral.